This 497-nucleotide ribosomal RNA is filed under the name uncultured bacterium. RNAcentral describes it as "partial 16S ribosomal RNA". It matches the Rfam family "Bacterial small subunit ribosomal RNA", at positions 28 to 507 of the family's 1533-position model. The record is from RNAcentral.
GAUGAACGCUGGCGGCGUGCCUAAUGCAUGCAAGUCGAGCGAACGGACGAGAAGCUUGCUUCUCUGAUGUUAGCGGCGGACGGGUGAGUAACACGUGGAUAACCUACCUAUAAGACUGGGAUAACUUCGGGAAACCGGAGCUAAUACCGGAUAAUAUUUUGAACCGCAUGGUUCAAAAGUGAAAGACGGUCUUGCUGUCACUUAUAGAUGGAUCCGCGCUGCAUUAGCUAGUUGGUAAGGUAACGGCUUACCAAGGCAACGAUGCAUAGCCGACCUGAGAGGGUGAUCGGCCUCACUGGAACUGAGACACGGUCCAGACUCCUACGGGAGGCAGCAGUAGGGAAUCUUCCGCAAUGGGCGAAAGCCUGACGGAGCAACGCCGCGUGAGUGAUGAAGGUCUUCGGAUCGUAAAACUCUGUUAUUAGGGAAGAACAUAUGUGUAAGUAACUGUGCACAUCUUGACGGUACCUAAUCAGAAAGCCACGGCUAACUACGUG